This 605-nucleotide ribosomal RNA is filed under the name uncultured fungus. RNAcentral describes it as "eukaryotic LSU rRNA". The stretch from base 231 to 384 matches the Rfam family "5.8S ribosomal RNA". The record is from RNAcentral. Lineage: Eukaryota; Fungi.
CUUGGUCAUUUAGAGGAAGUAAAAGUCGUAACAAGGUCUCCGUUGGUGAACCAGCGGAGGGAUCAUUACAGAGUUGCAAAACUCCCAAACCACUGUGAACUUACCAAUCGUUGCUUCGGCGGGCCGGCUCUACGGCCGCGCGGGUCCCCCCCCAGGGGAGCGCCCGCCGGAGGUAUCUAAACCAGACGUUUUUGUAUGGCCUCCCUGAGCAACUGUACCGAAUAAGUCAAAACUUUCAACAACGGAUCUCUUGGUUCUGGCAUCGAUGAAGAACGCAGCGAAAUGCGAUAAGUAAUGUGAAUUGCAGAAUUCAGUGAAUCAUCGAAUCUUUGAACGCACAUUGCGCCCGCCAGCAUUCUGGCAGGCAUGCCUGUUCGAGCGUCAUUUCGACCAUCAAGCCCCCCGGCUUGUGUUGGGGACCUGCGGUUGCCCGCAGGCCCUGAAAACCAGUGGCGGGCCCGACGGCACUCCGAGCGCAGUAGCACCUGUCUCGCUCAGGGCGUGCCGCGGGUUUCUUCCCGGCCGUUAAACAGCGCCUUUCGCAAGGUUGACCUCGGAUCAGGUAGGAGGACCCGCUGAACUUAAGCAUAUCAAUAAGCGGAGGA